Molecule: long non-coding RNA, 211 nt
Filed under: Elaeis guineensis (African oil palm)
Lineage: Eukaryota; Viridiplantae; Streptophyta; Magnoliopsida; Arecales; Arecaceae
Description: long non-coding RNA (EGUI_LNC037173)
Source: RNAcentral
AUCUAGCUUCCUUGAUCUGAACAGAUCUAGAAAGAAAAAUCAGCAAAGGAUUGCUGAACAAGGUACUUAUAUGAUAAUAUUUUAUAAUUUCUCUGUCUAUGAUACUACUACCUGGGUAUUGAAUAUCAAAAAUUUGAUUCAUAUCUAUAAUUCAUUGCAGAGACUUCAGGUUUGUAGAAAAUUUGAGAAAAGUGAAUAAUUUCUGAAUGUU